GAUGAGGAACGUAGCGAAAUGCGAUAAGUAAUGUGAAUUGCAGAAUUCUGUGAAUCAUCGAAUCUUUGAACGCACAUUGCGCCCCCUGGCAUUCCGGGGGGCAUGCCUGUUCGAGCGUCAUUAACACCACUCAAGCUCAGCUUGGUAUUGGGUCACGCCAGCAAUGGUGAACCUCAAACUCAGUGGCGGCACCGUUGGGUCCCGAGCGUAGUAAAUAUCUCGCUGAGGGUUCCCUCCGGUUGGCGACCAACAACCCAAUUUUCUAAGGUUGACCUCGGAUCAGGUAGGAAUACCCGCUGAACUUAAGCAUAUCAAUAAGCGGAGGA
This 326-nucleotide unclassified non-coding RNA is filed under the name soil metagenome. RNAcentral's name for it is "partial contains 5.8S ribosomal RNA, internal transcribed spacer 2, and large subunit ribosomal RNA". The stretch from base 1 to 120 matches the Rfam family "5.8S ribosomal RNA", at positions 35 to 154 of the family's 154-position model. The record is from RNAcentral.